GGGGUUGUGGCUCAGAGGAACAGUGCUUGCUUAGCAUGCAUGAGGCAUUGGGUUCGAUCCUCAACAUCA
RNAcentral lists this transfer RNA (69 nucleotides) under Marmota monax (woodchuck). RNAcentral describes it as "tRNA.Ala". Lineage: Eukaryota; Metazoa; Chordata; Mammalia; Rodentia; Sciuridae. The record is from RNAcentral.